AUUGAACGCUGGCGGCAGGCUUAACACAUGCAAGUCGAGCGGUAGCACAGGGGAGCUUGCUCCCUGGGUGACGAGCGGCGGACGGGUGAGUCAUGUCUGGGAAACUGCCUGAUGGAGGGGGAUAACUACUGGAAACGGUAGCUACUACCGCAUAACGUCGCAAGACCAAAGAGGGGGACCUUCGGGCCUCUUGCCAUCAGAUGUGCCCAGAUGGGAUUAGCUAGUAGGUGGGGUAAUGGCUCACCUAGGCGACGAUCCCUAGCUGGUCUGAGAGGAUGACCAGCCACACUGGAACUGAGACACGGUCCAGACUCCUACGGGAGGCAGCAGUGGGGAAUAUUGCACAAUGGGCGCAAGCCUGAUGCAGCCAUGCCGCGUGUGUGAAGAAGGCCUUCGGGUUGUAAAGCACUUUCAGUGAGGAGGAAGGUGGUGAACUUAAUACGUUCAUCAAUUGACGUUACUCGCAGAAGAAGCACCGGCUAACUCCGUG
RNAcentral lists this ribosomal RNA (490 nucleotides) under uncultured bacterium. RNAcentral's name for it is "partial 16S ribosomal RNA". It matches the Rfam family "Bacterial small subunit ribosomal RNA", at positions 30 to 507 of the family's 1533-position model. The record is from RNAcentral.